Long non-coding RNA from Crotalus tigris (Tiger rattlesnake), 3999 nucleotides. RefSeq lists it as uncharacterized. The record is from RefSeq and is a predicted model, not a curated record. The transcript is spliced from 3 exons. Lineage: Eukaryota; Metazoa; Chordata; Lepidosauria; Squamata; Viperidae.
CUCAAUUUGCACUGGUUCCUCCAAUUUUUGCACUGGUUCCUCCAGAUCAUUUCCGUGCAGAACCUCCGUGGGAACGGGCCGAAAGAGAUCCGGGCCUUUUCAGUUAAAGGCGCCCGGAUGCUUCCUCCGCCCAGGUUAGGACCGGUUCGGGUCAGCUGGGCGGGCUCAGGCGCCCUGACCCUCGGCAGCGACUGAGGCGUUGGAUCGCCCGGGCGGCGGCCCCAAUUAGGCAGCCCUGCGCGGCUCCCGCUCCACCUGGCCCUACCCACGGCUUCCCAGCCCAGCCUGAGAAGCGGCGCGGUCAGUAGGAGGCGAGGUUGGGCCGGGCCUGAGCACUGACCCCCGGCUGGGCUUCCACUCGCUCGGCUCGGCGGUGUCUCACCGCCCUCCUCUCAUCUCCAAUGGGCGGUGGGCUUCGGCCCUUGCGCGCCCCGGGAGAUGGUCUCCUCCUCGGCGGAAGGCGUCGGGGGCAGCAGAACGGUCGCCGGGGUCCGGUUGGGGUGGGGUGGGGGUGCUCGAGGGUAGGCCGUGCCCGCAGGUCGGUCAAGACGCAGAAGAAGGAAGGUUCCGCCGGCUGCCUUACCCCUUUGUGCUCGGCGGCGGCGCGGCUGGGAGCGAAAGGUUGCGGCUCUCUCUCCAGAAACAUGGAGUUCCCAUUUCUUGAUCUGACAGAAAAGGUGAGAUGAUCUGGUGCAACUAGGAAUUUUCUGGCCCAAUCACUUAUCUACCUCAAUUUCUACAACUGUAAAAGAGGAAUUCAAAUCAACAUUUAUAAAAGGCCAAGAUCCAUUAACUGGGCCGUUUCACCUGUGAGGGGUUGCUGAAGAAGACUCAGCCAGGUUGGCUUGGUGACUGUGCUCCCUUCGAUGACGGGUAUUCUUGGGUAUAUAAUACAGAUAGCGUUGUUAUUGCUUGAGAAUACGCGUAGUUGAGGGGAAGUUGCUUCAGCUCAGUGACAGUUUGUUCCCAUCUCUUUCUCUUCUGUCUCCUCCUUUCUUUGUCCUUCCUGUUACAUGAUCAGAAAACAAAUAUGUCUCCUGAUCCUCCUUGAAAGAGUCAAGUGGACUGACAAAGCAGCCUUUUCUUGGAUGGGCCCCACAGCUUCCUAGUACUUGUUUUUUUUCUUGCCCAGAUUUCCGAGUUUCAUGUUUAUUCUGUGAGAUUUAAGAUUUUGCUUUAUAAGUUUCCAAGUAGAGUGUGAUAGAAUAUCUCUUUCUUUUAGGUUUAUGAGAGAAAGGAUGUAUUUUGGACUUUUAAAUGAUAGGUAAAAAUGAAUAUCUAAUUUCAUCUGAAACAUACCAAACUGAGUCACACAGAAAGAAAGUCAACCCACAGAUUUCUAGUUCAGCUGGCCACAGAAGCUCAGUGAUCUUUUACAAGUUGGGCAAAUUGAUCUGGAAGUAUCUGGUACCACUUGUUUUUGUGGCAGAGGCAAGCCUGGACUGAUAACUUUUAUUUCUAAGGUUCUUCUGUUAUUGAUGAAUACAUUUUGGACAGAUUUUUUUCAUUAAUUUUUGAUAUGUCAUCUUAGCAGAUAGUGUCCUUGCUGAGGGAAAGAAAAAAGACAAUAAUCCUUAAGUCUCCAGUUUAUAUCCUUAGCUACACUUUUCUUCAGUACGUGAGGAGAACUUAUACAAAUGGGACUCCAACUUAAAGAAAGGGAGGUUUGCAAAGUAGCCAACCAAGAACUAACUUGGACCUGCAAUUCAGAUUUCAAUUCAACUUAGAAUUAAAAAAAAAUAGCAACAAGACAAGAAAGGACAGAAAAGGCAGAAAAAGUGAGGUGUGAUUCAGACAAUUAACAAUGGAGUGGAAGAUUCAUUUGUUUCUGUGAAGGGGGCACAUGUAUGUGUGCACCACUUGUGUACCUCUGUCUCUCUUCCUCUUUCUUUCUGCCUAUUAUUAUCUCGACCUCUUUCUCUCUGUGUAUAUCUAUAUAUCAAUAUGAACAAGUCCUGUAAAGAAAAUAUAUUUGAAAUUUAAAUAUGUCUUUGUUGUUGUUGUUGUUUUCAUAAUCAUGCUAGGGUUGAAGGAUAUGUUAGGGUCUCUCUCAUAAAACGUUUUGAGGCCAUAACAAUAGGAAAUUUACCAUCACUAUUACCAUUAUACUGAAACCUCAAGGUGUAAGUGCCUCUCAGGAGGUGGCAAUUCCUGCAUUUGCCCUAUGUGGCCUCUCAGGUGCCUUAUUUGACUUUUGUUCAUUCCACCCAAAUUAACAAUGCAAAUCAGACAGUGUCCUGUAUUAACUCAAGCUGAUUUUUUUAAACAGCUGGAUGCAAGUUUAGGACAGUAGUAACAUCCCCUAUUUUUUCUUUUUUUAAAAAGGGAGGCAGUGUGGUAGAAAGUUGAUGUCAGAAUCUUUCAAGACAAGGCAUUAUUAGAAGAGAUUUCCCCCUCUGCAGUAAACAACAAAGUGAAAGAGAUAUCCUGUCCGUGCAUUUUAAGGGGAGUGUUUGUGGAGACAUUUUGGAUCAACUACAUCAAUUCUCAUUAUAAUUAAUUUUAUUCAUUGUAAUUAGUUCUUGUGAUGGAUGGAAGGAAGAAAAAUGUUCUCCUUACAUACCAUAGCUGUGAAAUAAUCCUCAGUCCUCUUCUGUAAUAUCUGCCAUAUGUAUCUUCAUCUACGGUUGGGUACAUUUGCUCUUGUUACUAAGAAACACAUAGAAAGCACAUACUGAGCAGGAUAUUUUUUCCCCCCAAUGCCUUGUGUGUUCCACUUUAUGUCAUACUGAAAUGGAGCCAUCAUUAACUGAAUAUAUAUAACUGAAUAAAACUAUGAGGGGUGUUUUGGUUUUUGUAUUUAGUAAGGGUAACGGUGUGAAUAAUGGUAUUAUGCCAUUCAGAAGAUAAUGCAGGAUUGUUCUUUCAUGAAAGGAUUUCUUGAUUCAGUUUUAUGGAAAUGUAUGAUCUGACAGCUUUCCAGUUAUGGGCAGCAGAGGAAGAGAUUAUAUGCCUUAAACUUUUAUAUCAUCUAAUUGUCAUCUAGAACCCUAUUUACUAAAAUUGAAGUAAGAAUUUGACUAUGAGUCCUGAUUGUUUUUAGGAGCAAGGUGUUGAGGGCAGUUGUUCAUAGAAUGGUCCAACAUGCAAAAUAUUUAGCUGGAUAAACACUUCUUAUUCAAAGCAGUGAAAUUUAUCCAAUAAUUCCAAGGUUCAUUUAUUUGGUUUGGAUUUUAUCAUGUGCUGCUAUUAAUUGAACCAUUGACUUUAGUGGCCAAAAUAUUAUGUAAAAAAGAAUCAUAUUACUACUGAAAACAGAAGAAGAAAUAGGAUGGAGUUUAAAUGAACAUUUUAUCCUGGAUUCUCAGAGCCUUAAAAUACCCUGGGUAAGUGAAUACUUUUCUAAAUAUUUUUGUCAUUUUAAUAUAUGUCUUGAUUAUCUAAUCUCAUUAGGAUUAAAGAAAAAGGAACUGCCAUUGAUUAUUUUGAAUACAAUUACUACAGUACAGAGAGCCAAGCCAAUGAAGAAUAAUGUGCAGAGUUUCGCUGAUUCUACAUAGAGAACCGACUAGACAAGCAGAGUCUCUGUGUGUGAAUGAGAUGAUGCUCCUGAGCAUUUUGGCUCAACUGGAACCAGAUUCUGAGUAUUUUAGCAACUUUAACAGCAACUUUUAAGGCAAGGAAAACCAAUUAUUCUUAGAGGGUAACAAUGGAAGUGGUUUUUAUUAUUUUAUUAUUUAAAUAGUAAUAAUGUAGAUCUAGAAAGAAGAUACAAUAAAGUUAGUGAUCAAGAAGGGCAAAGGGCCAAAGGGGUAAUAAUAGAAAAAAAUGGAAUGAGAUUUCAUUUACAUGCAAAUACUAGAAGAAGUGCUAGGAAAGUUUGAGAACUAGAUGUUAAAUCAAGCAUAGAUUUGAAUGGAGUAACUAUGAGACAAAAAUCUAAAUCCAAAAACUUUGAAAUGUAGCAUCUGGAAAUGUGUCAGGCCAUCCUGACAACACCCAUGUCAGCACACGUGCAAGCGUGUGAUCAGUGGCAGUUUCUGCAGCCACGUCCCUAGC